UGGGGAAUAUUGGACAAUGGGCGAAAGCCUGAUCCAGCCAUGCCGCGUGUGUGAAGAAGGUCUUCGGAUUGUAAAGCACUUUAAGUUGGGAGGAAGGGGAUUAACCUAAUACGUUAGUGUUUUGACGUUACCGACAGAAUAAGCACCGGCUAACUCUGUGCCAGCAGCCGCGGUAAUACAGAGGGUGCAAGCGUUAAUCGGAAUUACUGGGCGUAAAGCGCGCGUAGGUGGUUUGUUAAGUUGGAUGUGAAAUCCCCGGGCUCAACCUGGGAACUGCAUUCAAAACUGACUGACUAGAGUAUGGUAGAGGGUGGUGGAAUUUCCUGUGUAGCGGUGAAAUGCGUAGAUAUAGGAAGGAACACCAGUGGCGAAGGCGACCACCUGGACUAAUACUGACACUGAGGUGCGAAAGCGUGGGGAGCAAACA
This 427-nucleotide ribosomal RNA is filed under the name uncultured bacterium. Its description in RNAcentral is "partial 16S ribosomal RNA". It matches the Rfam family "Bacterial small subunit ribosomal RNA", at positions 355 to 774 of the family's 1533-position model. The record is from RNAcentral.